RNAcentral lists this non-coding RNA (83 nucleotides) under Pelagibacterium sp. RNAcentral describes it as "ZTP sequence". It matches the Rfam family "ZMP/ZTP riboswitch aptamer (pfl RNA motif)". Rfam says of the family: Previously known as pfl RNA. Lineage: Bacteria; Pseudomonadati; Pseudomonadota; Alphaproteobacteria; Hyphomicrobiales; Devosiaceae. The record is from RNAcentral.
GCCCGUUCGCGCGACUGGCGAGAGAGAUGGGGAACCAUCGGGGAACGCGAACCUCAGCAGAGCCGCUCGCCUGGGCACCCAUC